RNAcentral lists this ribosomal RNA (492 nucleotides) under uncultured bacterium. Its description in RNAcentral is "partial 16S ribosomal RNA". It matches the Rfam family "Bacterial small subunit ribosomal RNA", at positions 29 to 507 of the family's 1533-position model. The record is from RNAcentral.
AGUGAACGCUGGCGGUAGGCCUAACACAUGCAAGUCGAACGGCAGCACAGUAAGAGCUUGCUCUUACGGGUGGCGAGUGGCGGACGGGUGAGGAAUACAUCGGAAUCUACUUUUUCGUGGGGGAUAACGUAGGGAAACUUACGCUAAUACCGCAUACGACCUACGGGUGAAAGCAGGGGAUCUUCGGACCUUGCGCGAUUGAAUGAGCCGAUGUCGGAUUAGCUAGUUGGCGGGGUAAAGGCCCACCAAGGCGACGAUCCGUGGCUGGUCUGAGAGGAUGAUCAGCCACACUGGAACUGAGACACGGUCCAGACUCCUACGGGAGGCAGCAGUGGGGAAUAUUGGACAAUGGGCGCAAGCCUGAUCCAGCCAUACCGCGCGGGUGAAGAAGGCCUUCGGGUUGUAAAGCCCUUUUGUUGGGAAAGAAAAGCAGCAGGUUAAUACCCCGCUGUUCUGACGGUACCCAAAGAAUAAGCACCGGCUAACUUCGUG